Amphilophus citrinellus (Midas cichlid) is the source of this 60-nucleotide microRNA precursor. NCBI's taxonomy places the organism in Eukaryota, Metazoa, Chordata, Actinopteri, Cichliformes, Cichlidae. The record is from Ensembl.
ACAUGCUUCCUUAUAUCCCCAUAUUAAUACGCCACUUAUGGAAUGUAAGGAAGUGUGUGG